RNAcentral lists this ribosomal RNA (492 nucleotides) under uncultured bacterium. RNAcentral's name for it is "bacterial SSU rRNA". It matches the Rfam family "Bacterial small subunit ribosomal RNA", at positions 20 to 507 of the family's 1533-position model. The record is from RNAcentral.
UGGCUCAGGAUGAACGCUGGCGGCGUGCCUAACACAUGCAAGUCGAACGAAGCUCUUACGACGGAACUCUUCGGAGGGAAGAUGUUUGAGGCUUAGUGGCGGACGGGUGAGUAACGCGUGGGUAACCUGCCCUGUACAGGGGGACAACAGUUAGAAAUGACUGCUAAUACCGCAUAAGCCUCCGGAAUCGCAUGAUUCAGAAGGAAAAACUCCGGUGGUACAGGAUGGGCCCGCGUCUGAUUAGCUAGUUGGUGGGGUAACGGCUCACCAAGGCGACGAUCAGUAGCCGGCCUGAGAGGGUGAACGGCCACAUUGGGACUGAGACACGGCCCAAACUCCUACGGGAGGCAGCAGUGGGGAAUAUUGGGCAAUGGGGGAAACCCUGACCCAGCAACGCCGCGUGAAGGAAGAAGGCCUUCGGGUUGUAAACUUCUUUUACCAGGGACGAAGAACGUGACGGUACCUGGAGAAAAAGCAACGGCUAACUACGUG